GGCCGGCAACCCCACUCAGCUAAACUGACGCAUCAACGCCGCGUGAGUGAUGAAGGUUAUCGGAUCGUAAAGCUCUGUCAGAGGGGAAGAAACUCCCGGGUGUAAAUAACACUUGGGCCUGACGGUACCCUCAAAGGAAGCACCGGCUAACUCCGUGCCAGCAGCCGCGGUAAUACGGAGGGUGCAAGCGUUGUUCGGAAUUAUUGGGCGUAAAGCGCGUGUAGGCGGUUGUUUAAGUCUGAUGUGAAAGCCCUGGGCUCAACCCGGGAAGUGCAUUGGAAACUGGGCAACUUGAGUACGGGAGAGGGUAGUGGAAUUCCGAGUGUAGGGGUGAAAUCCGUAGAUAUUCGGAGGAACACCGGUGGCGAAGGCGGCUACCUGGACCGAUACUGACGCUGAGACGCGAAAGCGUGGGGAGCAAACAGGAUUAGAUACCCUGGUAGUCCACGCCGUAAACGAU
RNAcentral lists this ribosomal RNA (460 nucleotides) under uncultured prokaryote. Its description in RNAcentral is "bacterial SSU rRNA". It matches the Rfam family "Bacterial small subunit ribosomal RNA", at positions 373 to 810 of the family's 1533-position model. The record is from RNAcentral.